CUCCUGGAGUCUGAAAUGCAGGGAAGGCCCCAGAGACCAGGGGCGCCGGUGCAGGGCCUGUCUGCUCCUGCCUAGCAGAGGCGGGAGCACGAUGGCAGCAGCGGGAGGAGCAUCGGGCUUGGCUUUGGAGAGAAUAAAGAAUCGCGGAGGCGCCUGCCCACCUCCAGUAGCAGUGGCAGCGGCGGCGGCGGCAGCAGCAACAGCGGCGGCAAGCAGUGCAGCUCUUCUUGUCCUCGCUGGGCUGGGGCACCUAUCCAUCCUCUGGCCAGGCACAAAAUGCAAUCCUCCUGCUGGGUCAUUCAUUUGCCACCCAUGGUUUACCCAAACCCAGCUUUGCCAGUCCCUACUUAUCUCAAGGAGGAAAGAGAAGGAGCCAGGUGACACCCACAUGUGAUCAGUGCUUGGCAGCAGCAACCACCUACUAUUCUUUUCAUUCAUCUUUAUCUCAACUCACUGAUCCCUGGGAAGCCACCAAAACUACAAGCAGGACUCUGUUGAGGGUACCAGCAACAGCAGAUGCCCCAUUAACCCUGCAGGGAAUGGUUGUAGAAUGGUGACUGGACAUGGUCAAGAAGGAACUGAUAGAUUUAAUGAUGGAAGACAUCACAAGCCAUGUAUUAUACCUGAUGGCUUCCUUUCCAGAGUAGGAGACGGGUAUCUCAAUUGUUCUACCAGUAUCGUGUUUGUGCUCUGUUCUUCCAUAUGUGCUGGAACCUCACUUGUGGGUACAGGGGCCUGCACUGACAUAAUGCUAGCCUACAUUUUCUGGGAUCUAGGAUGUGGUGGUCAAGGGCACUCUCAAACUUACCAAUUUACCUCAGGCUAGCAACAGAUAGAGGGCAGAGGGGAGGAAGGCAGUUGCAUCAGCCUCAGGGUCUGACAGGCUUAUAAAGGUCAGUGACUAAAUUCCCUGGUCUCCUGUCCUCACAGAAGCUCACCAAACACAUCCCUCAUUUUAAAUGUUUGCAACAUGUCAGUCACUCCUAGAGGCAGAGCUCACAAAAGGUGCCCCUGGCCCUCCAGCACAACUGGACCCAAAAGAACCAA
Molecule: long non-coding RNA, 1047 nt
Organism: Onychomys torridus (southern grasshopper mouse)
Lineage: Eukaryota; Metazoa; Chordata; Mammalia; Rodentia; Cricetidae
Exons: 4
Source: RefSeq, a predicted model, not a curated record